RNAcentral lists this ribosomal RNA (1196 nucleotides) under Acanthochiasma sp. JD-2012. Its description in RNAcentral is "SSU rRNA". It matches the Rfam family "Eukaryotic small subunit ribosomal RNA", at positions 49 to 1273 of the family's 1831-position model. Lineage: Eukaryota; Acantharea; Holacanthida; Acanthochiasmidae. The record is from RNAcentral.
CCAUGCAUGUCUAAGUAUAAGCGAUUAUACAGUGAGACUGCGGACGGCUCAUUAUAUCAGUUAUAGUUUAUUUGAUGGUUCUUUACUACAAGGAUAACCGUAGUAAUUCUAGAGCUAAUACUUGCACGAAGACCCGACUUCUGGAAGGGUUGCACUUAUUAGAUUUCAAGCCAUUCCUCUUUGAGGAUUCGGUGAAUCAUAGUAAUUUAGCGGAUCUCAGGCUUAUGCCGAGACGCUUCAUUCAAAUUUCUGCCCUAUCAGCUUUCGAUGGUAGUGUAUUGGACUACCAUGGCUUUAACGGGUAACGGAGAAUUAGGGUUCGAUUCCGGAGAGGGAGCCUGAGAAACGGCUACCACAUCUAAGGAAGGCAGCAGGCGCGCAAAUUACCCAAUCCUAACGCAGGGAGGUAGUGACAAGAAAUAUCAACAGCUAGCAUAUCUUAUGUGAGUUGAUUGGAAUGAGUACAAUCUAAAACACUUAACGAAUUCCAUUGGAGGGCAAGUCUGGUGCCAGCAGCCGCGGUAACUCCAGCUCCAAUAGCGUAUACUAAUGUUGUUGCAGUUAAAAAGCUCGUAGUCGGAUUUCAGAAUUAACAUUUCGCCUUUCAUGGCUGUGAUGUUUUUUCUUCUUAACGAGAAGCUAUCGUGGCCUUCACUGGUCGCGGUAGGGUAUCGUUUCUUUUACUUUGAGAAAAUUAGAGUGUUCAAAGCAGGCAUUUGCCCGAAUAUUACUCUUGGAAUAAUCGUAUAGGACUUUGGUUCUCAUUUGAUGGUUUGGAGGCCGAAGUAAUGAUUAAUAGGGACGGUUGGGGUCAUUCGUACUGCAAAGCGAGCGGUGAAAUGCUUGGACCUUUGUAUGACGACCUACUGCGAAAGCAUUUGACUAGGACGUUCCCGUUGAUCAAGAACGAAAGUUGGGGGAUCGAAGACGAUCAGAUACCGUCGUAGUCUCAACCAUAAACUAUGCCAGCUAGGGAUUGGAAGUUGCUCUAUCAUGACACUUUCAGCACCUUAUGAGAAAUCAAAGCAUUUGGGUUCCGGGGGGAGUAUGGUCGCAAGGCUGAAACUUAAAGGAAUUGACGGGAGGGCACCACCAGGAGUGGAGCCUGCGGCUUAAUUUGAUUCAACACGGGAAAACUUACCAGGUCCGGACAAAGUAAGGAUUGACAGAUUGAAAGCUCUUUCUUGAUUCUUUGG